AUUGAACGCUGGCGGCAUGCCUAACACAUGCAAGUCGAGCGGAGUGGCGGACGGGCGAGUAAUGCCUAGGAAUCUGCCUUGUAGUGGGGGAUAGCGUCCGGAAACGGGACCUAAUAUCGUAUACUUUCAGAUGAGCCUAGGUCGUAUUAGCUAGUUGGUGGGGUAAAGGCCUACCAUGGCGACGAAGCGGAACUGGUCUGAGAGGCUGAUCAGUCACACUGGAACUGUGACACGGUCCAGAGUCCGACGGGAUGCAGCAGUGGGGAAUAGUGGGCAAUGGGCGAAAGCCUGAUACAGCCAUGCCGCGUGUGUGAAGAAGGGCUUCGGAUUGUAAAGCACUGUAAGUUGGGAGGCGUUACCAACAGAAGAAGCACCGGCUAACUUCGUGCCAGCAGCCGCGGUAAUAC
RNAcentral lists this ribosomal RNA (407 nucleotides) under uncultured bacterium. Its description in RNAcentral is "partial 16S ribosomal RNA". It matches the Rfam family "Bacterial small subunit ribosomal RNA", at positions 30 to 526 of the family's 1533-position model. The record is from RNAcentral.